RNAcentral lists this non-coding RNA (67 nucleotides) under Bergeyella zoohelcum CCUG 30536. Its description in RNAcentral is "DUF3800-VIII RNA". It matches the Rfam family "DUF3800-VIII RNA". From Rfam's summary of the family: Bacteroidetes, Cyanobacteria, Firmicutes, Planctomycetes (1 example), Proteobacteria, Tenericutes (1 example). Lineage: Bacteria; Pseudomonadati; Bacteroidota; Flavobacteriia; Flavobacteriales; Weeksellaceae. The record is from Rfam by way of RNAcentral.
AAAGUCUUUAAUCACUCGAAGGUCUGCGUACUACGCAGAGGGUUUAUGUAGAGUUAUUUGGGGCUUU